This 496-nucleotide ribosomal RNA is filed under the name uncultured Burkholderia sp. RNAcentral's name for it is "bacterial SSU rRNA". It matches the Rfam family "Bacterial small subunit ribosomal RNA", at positions 8 to 507 of the family's 1533-position model. Lineage: Bacteria; Pseudomonadati; Pseudomonadota; Betaproteobacteria; Burkholderiales; Burkholderiaceae. The record is from RNAcentral.
AGAGUUGAUCCUGGCUCAGAUUGAACGCUGCGGCAUGCCUUACACAUGCAAGUCGAACGGCAGCACGGGGGCAACCCUGGUGGCGAGUGGCGAACGGGUGAGUAAUACAUCGGAACGUGUCCUGUAUGGGGGAUAGCCCGGCGAAAGCCGGAUUAAUACCGCAUACGCUCUACGGAGAAAGGGGGAUCUUAGGACCUCCCGCUACAGGGGCGGCCGAUGGCAGAUUAGCUAGUUGGUGGGGUAAAGGCCUACCAAGGCGACGAUCUGUAGCUGGUCUGAGAGGACGACCAGCCACACUGGGACUGAGACACGGCCCAGACUCCUACGGGAGGCAGCAGUGGGGAAUUUUGGACAAUGGGCGAAAGCCUGAUCCAGCAAUGCCGCGUGUGAAGAAGGCCUUCGGGUUGUAAAGCACUUUUGUCCGGAAAGAAAACGCCGUGGUUAAUACCCGUGGCGGAUGACGGUACCGGAAGAAUAAGCACCGGCUAACUACGUG